GAUCAUGGCUCAGGAUGAACGCUAGCUACAGGCUUAACACAUGCAAGUCGAGGGGCAGCAUUUUUAUAGCAAUAUAAAAGAUGGCGACCGGCGCACGGGUGAGUAACACGUAUCCAACCUGCCGAUAACUCGGGGAUAACCCUUCGAAAGAAGGCCUAAUACCCGAUGGCAUAUCCCUUCCGCCUGGUUGGGAUAUUAAAGAACUUCGGUUAUCGAUGGGGAUGCGUUCCAUUAGGCAGUUGGCGGGGUAACGG
RNAcentral lists this ribosomal RNA (254 nucleotides) under uncultured bacterium. RNAcentral describes it as "partial 16S ribosomal RNA". It matches the Rfam family "Bacterial small subunit ribosomal RNA", at positions 15 to 263 of the family's 1533-position model. The record is from RNAcentral.